AUGCAAGUCGAACGAACUCUGGUAUUGAUUGGUGCUUGCAUCAUGAUUUACAUUUGAGUGAGUGGCGAACUGGUGAGUAACACGUGGGAAACCUGCCCAGAAGCGGGGGAUAACACCUGGAAACAGAUGCUAAUACCGCAUAACAACUUGGACCGCAUGGUCCGAGCUUGAAAGAUGGCUUCGGCUAUCACUUUUGGAUGGUCCCGCGGCGUAUUAGCUAGAUGGUGGGGUAACGGCUCACCAUGGCAAUGAUACGUAGCCGACCUGAGAGGGUAAUCGGCCACAUUGGGACUGAGACACGGCCCAAACUCCUACGGGAGGCAGCAGUAGGGAAUCUUCCACAAUGGACGAAAGUCUGAUGGAGCAACGCCGCGUGAGUGAAGAAGGGUUUCGGCUCGUAAAACUCUGUUGUUAAAGAAGAACAUAUCUGAGAGUAACUGUUCAGGUAUUGACGGUAUUUAACCAGAAAGCCACGGCUAACUACGUGCCAGCAGCCGCGGUAAUACGUAGGUGGCAAGCGUUGUCCGGAUUUAUUGGGCGUAAAGCGAGCGCAGGCGGUUUUUUAAGUCUGAUGUGAAAGCCUUCGGCUCAACCGAAGAAGUGCAUCGGAAACUGGGAAACUUGAGUGCAGAAGAGGACAGUGGAACUCCAUGUGUAGCGGUGAAAUGCGUAGAUAUAUGGAAGAACACCAGUGGCGAAGGCGGCUGUCUGGUCUGUAACUGACGCUGAGGCUCGAAAGUAUGGGUAGCAAACAGGAUUAGAUACCCUGGUAGUCCAUACCGUAAACGAUGAAUGCUAAGUGUUGGAGGGUUUCCGCCCUUCAGUGCUGCAGCUAACGCAUUAAGCAUUCCGCCUGGGGAGUACGGCCGCAAGGCUGAAACUCAAAGGAAUUGACGGGGGCCCGCACAAGCGGUGGAGCAUGUGGUUUAAUUCGAAGCUACGCGAAGAACCUUACCAGGUCUUGACAUACUAUGCAAAUCUAAGAGAUUAGACGUUCCCUUCGGGGACAUGGAUACAGGUGGUGCAUGGUUGUCGUCAGCUCGUGUCGUGAGAUGUUGGGUUAAGUCCCGCAACGAGCGCAACCCUUAUUAUCAGUUGCCAGCAUUAAGUUGGGCACUCUGGUGAGACUGCCGGUGACAAACCGGAGGAAGGUGGGGAUGACGUCAAAUCAUCAUGCCCCUUAUGACCUGGGCUACACACGUGCUACAAUGGAUGGUACAACGAGUUGCGAACUCGCGAGAGUAAGCUAAUCUCUUAAAGCCAUUCUCAGUUCGGAUUGUAGGCUGCAACUCGCCUACAUGAAGUCGGAAUCGCUAGUAAUCGCGGAUCAGCAUGCCGCGGUGAAUACGUUCCCGGGCCUUGUACACACCGCCCGUCACACCAUGAGAGUUUGUAACACCCAAAGUCGGUGGGGUAACCUUUAGA
This 1425-nucleotide ribosomal RNA is filed under the name Lactiplantibacillus plantarum. RNAcentral describes it as "bacterial SSU rRNA". It matches the Rfam family "Bacterial small subunit ribosomal RNA". The record is from RNAcentral. Lineage: Bacteria; Bacillati; Bacillota; Bacilli; Lactobacillales; Lactobacillaceae.